Molecule: ribosomal RNA, 1946 nt
Organism: Entamoeba histolytica HM-1:IMSS
Lineage: Eukaryota; Evosea; Mastigamoebida; Endamoebidae
Rfam family: Eukaryotic small subunit ribosomal RNA
Source: Rfam
UAUCUGGUUGAUCCUGCCAGUAUUAUAUGCUGAUGUUAAAGAUUAAGCCAUGCAUGUGUAAGUAUAAAGUCCAAGAAGGAUGAAACUGCGGACGGCUCAUUACAACAGUCACAGUCUCUUUGGUUAGUGAAAUACAAGGAUAACUUUGUGAAUAAUAAAGAUAAUACUUGAGACGAUCCUUUUUGUAGCAAUACAAAAGGGCUAUUCAAUUUUCGAAUUGGAUAGGAAGGAUAUUCAUCAUGAAAAUGGAUACCACCACAAUUGUAGAAUAUUUCAAAUAUCUAACAAGCAACCAAUGAGAGUGUCUGAUCUAUCAAUUUGUUGGUAGUAUCGAGGACUACCAAGAUUAUAACGGAUAACGAGAAAUAAGGGUUUGACAUCGGAGAGGGAGCUUUCAAGAUGGCUACCACUUCCAAGGAAGGCAGCAGGCGCGAAAAUUGCCCACUUUCAACUCGAAGAGGCAGUGACGACAAAUAACUCUGUAAAUGCUUUUAGUAUUUAUCGAAGGAAUGAGUAAGAUGUAAAUAGUCUUACAAAAUCAAUUGGAGGGCAAGUCUGGUGCCAGCAGCCGCGGUAAUUCCAGCUCCAAUAGUGUAUAUUAAAGUUGUUGUGAUUAAAACGCUCGUAGUUGAAUUAAGAGCUGAUAUUCAAAUGAGACCAGGAGUGUCUAACAUUUUUGGAAUUAUUUGGGUAUAAUAUCAAAGAAGGAGUUUAGUCAGAAAUGGCUAAACAUUACUUUGAAUAAAAUAAAGUGUUUAAAGCAAAACAUACGUUAAUGAAUAAUGAAGCAUGGGACAAUAAUAAGGGGAUGAGCAAUCAUUUCGAGAGAAGGAUUAAAAGGAAUAAUUGGGGUGAUUCAGAAAAAAACGGGAGAGGUGAAAAUUCAUGAUCGUUUUAAGAUGCACGAGAGCGAAAGCAUUUCACUCAAUUAUAUUCAUUAAUCAAGAACGAAAGUUAGGGGAUCGAAGACGAUCAGAUACCGUCGUAGUCCUAACUAUAAACGAUGUCAACCAAGGAUUAAAUGAACAAAAGAAAUGAGAAGAUUCUGAUGAUCGAUGAUCAGAAGAGUUUUAUUAUUUCAAUAUUACCUUAUUUAGCACUUAAAGAGAAAUCUUGAGUUACUAGACUUCAGGGGGAGUAUGGUCACAAGGCUGAAACUUAAAGGAAUUGACGGAAGGGCACACCAGGAGUGGAGCCUGCGGCUUAAUUUGACUCAACACGGGAAAACUUACCAAGACCGAACAGUAUUAGGAAUGACAGAUUAAGGGUUCUUUCAUGAUUUAUUGGCGAGUGGUGCAUGGCCGUUCUUAGUUGGUGGAGUGAUUUGUCGGGUUAAUUCCGGUAACGAACGAGACUGAAACCUAUUAAUUAAUUAAUCAUCCAUGAGGUGAUUAUAUUCAGCAAUGGAUACGUGAUCACACGAUUACUUAAAGGGACACAUUUCAAUUGUUUUUCAUUAAUCGUGUGUUAAAGUAUUACUUUAACUGCUUUUAAUGGGAAAAAAAGAAAAAGGAAGCAUUCAGCAAUAACAGGUCUGUGAUGCCCUUAGACAUCUUGGGCUGCACGCGCGCUACAAUGAAGUUACUAGAGAGUAAUUAAUUGAGAUAUCGUAUAAGAUGAGACUUUGUUUCAUUUUGUAUGUAAUAUCACAAUGUACCGAUAAUUAAAAUUGGAGGAAAACUCAAAAGAACGUACUUGACCGGGAUAAAUGAUUGGAAUUAUUUGUUUUGAACGAGGAAUUCCUUGUAAUAUCGUGUCAUCAACGCGAGAUGAAUACGUCCCUGCCCUUUGUACACACCGCCCGUCGCUCCUACCGAUUGAAUAAAGAGGUGAAAUUCUAGGAUUUUUGUUGUUUACAACGAGAAGAAUGGAUUUAAAUCUCCUUAUUUAGAGGAAGGAGAAGUCGUAACAAGGUUUCCGUAGGUGAACCUGCGGAAGGAUCAUUA